AUGCUCCGUUAUAGAGACAGACCACGUCCCCCUUGGCCACCCCAGCGGGGUGGAUGCCCCCUUACUUGUAAAGGACACCAGGAUGGCCACGCUCACCCAGGGAGGCAGCGGGACUGCUGCCAGGCAGCCCAAACUUGGAGGGACCCUGGGAUCCUUAACUUUUGUGAGCCUCAGUCCCCUCUUUAUCAGCCAGCCCCCUCCCAGGGCUGUGCCCGAGGACAUGAAAUGAAUGGCGCGCCCGCUGUGCCUGGAGCAGGACAUCACGCUUCCUGGAGCCACACACCCAUGAAGACUGAUGGCCAAGGAGGAAGAAAGAGGUCCCACGGGCUGGCGUCUGCUUCACGCCGGUGGGAGCUGCCCUCCUUUUCUCUCCCACAAAGACCCUGGGGGCCCAUCCCAGGGAGGAGCUGUGGGGAGGGAGGGGAGAGGGAGGCGGGACAGAGCUCCGAGCGGGAGAUGCCAACCUCUGUCCUAUCCCGGGAAAGAAAGAUGUCAAUGUGUGCGUGGAUUAGGGACUCACCUGGCCCUGACCUUCCUGAAUCAGGAGGUGAGAGCUCCCAGGUGUCAGUGUGCUGUGGCCAGGCUGGAGGGAUGGGGUUGGAUCCAGCCCCCUGCCAAGCGGGGGUCUCACGUUGGGAGUGAUGAGCGGCACAUGCUCUCACGAUGAGGCUCUCUGGGUAGAGCAGGGCAGCCUCCGAAGUUGGUCCAAAAUGGCUGGGAGAGGAGACUGGCCUGGUCUUGCUGCAGUUGGGGGCGGGGCCGAGUGAGGGGUCCUGCUCUCAGAAAGAAGUGUCCAGCAGCUCUGAAGGAUGGAGCACCCACCGUCUAUCAGCCUGCCUGGAUGCGGGGCCUAAGCCUGGAGGAGGUGGGUGGAGGCUUAAAAGCUGCCAGCACCCCAACAUCCAAGAUGGAGUCAGACUCUACUACACACUGACAUGACCGCUUCCUGUAUCGCAACUCAGUGACACGUGCAAUCUGCACGUGGUACAAGCGUGAGCAUCCAUGCACAUCACAGGAGCGUGAUGACCCUGUGAGUCUCUAGCACGUUAGUGUCUAUGGGGGUGCAUUCAACCCACCUCUCCCCAGGACAUCUUCACGGCAGCUCCACUGUCAAAACACACUCAAGGGGCUUCCCUGGUGGCGCAGUGGUUGAGAGUCCGCCUGCUGAUGCAGAGGACACGGGUUCGAGCCCUGGUCUGGGAGGAUCCCACAUGCCGCAGAGCAACUACGCCCAUGCACCACAACUACUGAGCCUGCGCUCUAGAGUCCGUGAGCCACAGCUGCUGAGCCUGCGUAUCUGGAGCUUGCGCUCCGCAAUGGGAGAGGCCGCGACAGUGAGAGGCCCGCGCACCGCGAUGAAGAGUGGCCCCCGCUCGCCGCAACUGGAGAAGGCGCACACACAGAGACGAAGACCCAACAUAGCCAAAAAUAAAUAAAAUUUAAAAAAAAAACACACUCAAGAUUUAAAAUUAUGACUAGCUCAGCCUGUACCACACACCCAUGUACCACCACCCAGACUGAACAAAUGUUUAUCUUUUUCAUAUUUGCUCUGGAGAGUUUUUUAAGCAGUUCAAGUUAGAGUGGAAGCUCUACCU
Molecule: long non-coding RNA, 1595 nt
Filed under: Delphinapterus leucas (beluga whale)
Lineage: Eukaryota; Metazoa; Chordata; Mammalia; Artiodactyla; Monodontidae
Description: lncRNA (ENSDLEG00000003172.1)
Source: RNAcentral